UACGUAGGGUGCGAGCGUUAAUCGGAAUUACUGGGCGUAAAGCGUGCGCAGGCGGUUCGUGAUGUCUGGUGUGAAAGCCCCGGGCGUAACCUGGGAAUUGCAUUGGAAACUAGCGGGCUGGAGUGUGGCAGAGGGGGGUGGAAUUCCACGUGUAGCAGUGAAAUGCGUAGAGAUGUGGAGGAACACCGAUGGCGAAGGCAGCCCCCUGGGCUAACACUGACGCUCAUGCACGAAAGCGUGGGGAGCAAACAGG
Molecule: ribosomal RNA, 253 nt
Filed under: uncultured bacterium
Lineage: Bacteria
Description: partial 16S ribosomal RNA
Rfam family: Bacterial small subunit ribosomal RNA
Source: RNAcentral